RNAcentral lists this transfer RNA (76 nucleotides) under Bacteroidota bacterium. RNAcentral describes it as "Bacteroidetes bacterium (marine metagenome) tRNA-Phe". It matches the Rfam family "tRNA". Rfam says of the family: Transfer RNA (tRNA) molecules are approximately 80 nucleotides in length. The record is from RNAcentral. Lineage: Bacteria; Pseudomonadati; Bacteroidota.
GGCGCUCUAGCUCAGUCGGUAGAGCAACGGACUGAAAAUCCGUGUGUGCCCAGUUCGAUUCUGGGGGGCGCCACUA